UCUAGCACCUCCCUGGAGACGAGCAUCCAGCUGUGUAGCCUUAUCCGGGCUUGUGCUGAAGC
This 62-nucleotide non-coding RNA is filed under the name Sus scrofa (pig). The record is from RNAcentral. Lineage: Eukaryota; Metazoa; Chordata; Mammalia; Artiodactyla; Suidae.